CUCCUCCUCGCCCUACAGCCCCGUGCGUCCCCUUUUGCAUCGCCGGCCCUAGGCUCCAUCCCCCUGCGUUGGCAGCUCCCUGCACCACGCGCAUCUGCCCAGUUUCGCAGGCCUCCAUGCACCUCUGUGCGCCGCCACCCCUCGCCCCUUUCUGCUCACGAAGGAGAGGAGCUCGUCGCCCCCUGUCUCGCGCAGCACACUGUCGCCCAAGCGCAGGGAGCAGCGACGGUUCUGGAGCUGAGUCCCCCGUACGUGCAGCAGGUCGCCCCGACCUCCUCCUGCGUCGUACUCGUGAUGCCCAGCACCGCCAUCGUGAACACAAACGCCGCCCCUUCUGUUCCAGGACCGAGCAGACCACCGCUGCCCCCUUCCAGUUUCGAUUCCCGGCACUACAAUCCAUCUCCGCCGUGGGUAAGCGCGAGCUUUUGUUCGCCAUCAAUGGAGGAUCCCGAGCUUUUGCAAUCUGGUCCUUGAAAUCUGCAGCUAAUCGCAAAAAGAAACGCAGUUUGAGAGCUAUGAAGAUGAAGAAUUGCAAGAACAAGAGUUUAAGACUCUGAGCAGUUAUUAUCUGGAUUUGAGGCAAG
Long non-coding RNA from Panicum virgatum (switchgrass), 584 nucleotides. RefSeq lists it as uncharacterized. The transcript has 3 exons. Lineage: Eukaryota; Viridiplantae; Streptophyta; Magnoliopsida; Poales; Poaceae. The record is from RefSeq and is a predicted model, not a curated record.